AUACGUAGGGGGCGAGCGUUGUCCGGAAUGAUUGGGCGUAAAGGGCGCGUAGGCGGCUUUGCAAGUCAGUAGUGGAAGUCCAUUUUUCAAGGAUGGAAGUGCUACAGAAACUGCGGAGCUUGAGUGCAGGAGAGGUUAUCGGAAUUCCCGGUGUAGCGGUGAAAUGCGUAGAGAUCGGGAGGAACACCAGUGGCGAAGGCGGGUAACUGGACUGCAACUGACGCUGAGGCGCGAAAGUGUGGGGAGCAAACAGGAUUAGAUACCCUGGUAGUCCACACUGUAAACGAUGAAUGCUAGGUGUAGGAGGUAUCGACUCCUCCUGUGCCGCAGCUAACGCAAUAAGUAUUCCACCUGGGGAGUACGGCCGCAAGGUUGAAACUCAAAGGAAUUGACGGGG
RNAcentral lists this ribosomal RNA (397 nucleotides) under uncultured bacterium. RNAcentral's name for it is "partial 16S ribosomal RNA". It matches the Rfam family "Bacterial small subunit ribosomal RNA", at positions 523 to 918 of the family's 1533-position model. The record is from RNAcentral.